UGAGUAACCUGCCCUUAACUCUGGGAUAAGCCUGGGAAACUGGGUCUAAUACCGGAUAUGACUCCUCAUCGCAUGGUGGGGGGUGGAAAGCUUUAUUGUGGUUUUGGAUGGACUCGCGGCCUAUCAGCUUGUUGGUGAGGUAAUGGCUCACCAAGGCGACGACGCGUAGCCGACCUGAGAGGGUGAUCGGCCACAUUGGAACUGAGACACGGUCCAGACUCCGUACGGGA
Molecule: ribosomal RNA, 230 nt
Filed under: uncultured bacterium
Lineage: Bacteria
Description: partial 16S ribosomal RNA
Rfam family: Bacterial small subunit ribosomal RNA
Source: RNAcentral